UUUUCUCAGGAGAGUGAGGUGAU
This 23-nucleotide small nuclear RNA is filed under the name Arabidopsis thaliana (thale cress). RNAcentral describes it as "snRNA_01064". Lineage: Eukaryota; Viridiplantae; Streptophyta; Magnoliopsida; Brassicales; Brassicaceae. The record is from RNAcentral.